RNAcentral lists this ribosomal RNA (468 nucleotides) under uncultured bacterium. RNAcentral describes it as "partial 16S ribosomal RNA". It matches the Rfam family "Bacterial small subunit ribosomal RNA", at positions 28 to 507 of the family's 1533-position model. The record is from RNAcentral.
GACGAACGCUGGCGGCGUGCUUAACACAUGCAAGUCGAACGGAAAGGCCCUGCUUUUGUGGGGUGCUCGAGUGGCGAACGGGUGAGUAACACGUGAGUAACCUGCCCUUGACUUUGGGAUAACUUCAGGAAACUGGGGCUAAUACCGGAUAGGAGCUCCUGCUGCAUGGUGGGGGUUGGAAAGUUUCGGCGGUUGGGGAUGGACUCGCGGCUUAUCAGCUUGUUGGUGGGGUAGUGGCUUACCAAGGCUUUGACGGGUAGCCGGCCUGAGAGGGUGACCGGCCACAUUGGGACUGAGGUACGGCCCAGACUCCUACGGGAGGCAGCAGGGGGGAAUAUUGCACAAUGGGCGGAAGCCUGAUGCAGCGACGCCGCGUGCGGGAUGACGGCCUUCGGGUUGUAAACCGCUUUCGCCUGUGACGAAGCGUGAGUGACGGUAAUGGGUAAAGAAGCACCGGCUAACUACGUG